UGAACCUGCCGUUGGAUCAGUUCUAGUUUUAAUACCUAACACCAACUUCUUUUAGUAAACAAAAACCAAUACAAAAUUAAAAACUAACCUCAUCAAAAACCAAGUCUCUAAGCAAUGGAUGUCUUGGCUCCUCACACGAUGAAGAACGUGGCAUAAUGUGUUAAGUAACCGGAGUUGCAAACAUCAUGACAGGUUAAUCUUUGAAUGCAAAUUGCGCUAAACUCGAUCUCGGUCGAGAAGCAUGGGUGUGACAGUACUACAUCUUUUAUAAUAAUUCUUAUUCUAAGCGAAUAAGUAAAUAAUAUAUAAGACAAACAACACGUAGUCUGCCAUACGCAGGAAGACCCGCUGAACUGAAGCAUCUCAUUAAGCGG
This 374-nucleotide ribosomal RNA is filed under the name Trichomonas vaginalis G3. Its description in RNAcentral is "5.8S ribosomal RNA". The stretch from base 104 to 259 matches the Rfam family "5.8S ribosomal RNA". The record is from RNAcentral. Lineage: Eukaryota; Parabasalia; Trichomonadida; Trichomonadidae.